RNAcentral lists this ribosomal RNA (520 nucleotides) under uncultured Oscillospiraceae bacterium. Its description in RNAcentral is "bacterial SSU rRNA". It matches the Rfam family "Bacterial small subunit ribosomal RNA", at positions 1 to 507 of the family's 1533-position model. Lineage: Bacteria; Bacillati; Bacillota; Clostridia; Eubacteriales; Oscillospiraceae. The record is from RNAcentral.
CGUAAGGAGUUCGUAGUCCUCGGCGUCACGGACGAACGGCUAGGCGGCGUGCCUAUACAUGCAAGUCGAACGGAGAUAUUCGCUGAUGAAGUACUUCGGUAAUGAAUCUUGGAUAUCUUAGUGGCGGACGGGUGGAGUAACGACGUGAGCAACCUGCCUUUCAGAGGGGGAGUAACGUUUGGUAAACGAACGCUAAUACCGCAUGACAUUAUCUUAUCGCAUGGUAGGAUAAUCAAAGGAGCAAUCCGCUGAAAGAUGGGCUCGCGUCCGAUUAGGUAGUUGGUGGGGUAACGGCCCACCAAGCCGACGAUCGGUAGCCGGACUGAGAGGUUGGACGGCCACAUUGGGACUGAGACACGGCCCAGACUCCUACGGGAGGCAGCAGUAAGGGAUAUUGGUCAAUGGGGGAAACCCUGAAUCAGCAACGCCGCGUGAGGGAAGACGGUUUUCGGAUUGUAAACCUCUGUCCUCUGUGAAGAUGAUGACGGUAGCAGAGGAGGAAGCUCCGGCUAACUACGUG